Ochotona princeps (American pika) is the source of this 95-nucleotide ribosomal RNA. Lineage: Eukaryota; Metazoa; Chordata; Mammalia; Lagomorpha; Ochotonidae. The record is from Ensembl.
GUCUAUAGCCAUACCACCCCGAACGCAUCUGAUCUCAGAAGCUAAGCAGGAUUGGGGCUGGUUAUUACUUGGCCGGGAGAAGGUUUUGCUUUACU